This 472-nucleotide ribosomal RNA is filed under the name Latilactobacillus sakei. RNAcentral describes it as "bacterial SSU rRNA". It matches the Rfam family "Bacterial small subunit ribosomal RNA", at positions 90 to 548 of the family's 1533-position model. Lineage: Bacteria; Bacillati; Bacillota; Bacilli; Lactobacillales; Lactobacillaceae. The record is from RNAcentral.
AGUGAGUGGCGGACGGGUGAGUAACACGUGGGUAACCUGCCCUAAAGUGGGGGAUAACAUUUGGAAACAGAUGCUAAUACCGCAUAAAACCUAACACCGCAUGGUGUAGGGUUGAAAGAUGGUUUCGGCUAUCACUUUAGGAUGGACCCGCGGUGCAUUAGUUAGUUGGUGAGGUAAAGGCUCACCAAGACCGUGAUGCAUAGCCGACCUGAGAGGGUAAUCGGCCACACUGGGACUGAGACACGGCCCAGACUCCUACGGGAGGCAGCAGUAGGGAAUCUUCCACAAUGGACGAAAGUCUGAUGGAGCAACGCCGCGUGAGUGAAGAAGGUUUUCGGAUCGUAAAACUCUGUUGUUGGAGAAGAAUGUAUCUGAUAGUAACUGAUCAGGUAGUGACGGUAUCCAACCAGAAAGCCACGGCUAACUACGUGCCAGCAGCCGCGGUAAUACGUAGGUGGCAAGCGUUGUCCGG